RNAcentral lists this ribosomal RNA (253 nucleotides) under uncultured bacterium. RNAcentral's name for it is "partial 16S ribosomal RNA". It matches the Rfam family "Bacterial small subunit ribosomal RNA", at positions 524 to 776 of the family's 1533-position model. The record is from RNAcentral.
UACAGAGGUCCCAAGCGUUGUUCGGAUUCACUGGGCGUAAAGGGUGCGCAGGUGGCCGCGCAAGUUCGAUGUGAAAGCCCCGGGCUUAACCCGGGAAUGGCAUUGAAAACUGCGUGGCUGGAGGAUCGGAGGGGGGACUGGAAUUCUUGGUGUAGCGGUGGAAUGCGCAGAUAUCAGGAGGAACACCGGUGGCGAAGGCGGGUCUCUGGGCAGUAACUGACGCUGAGGAGCGAAAGCGUGGGGAGCGAACAGG